CGUAUAAAAAUGAACCAUUAAAUCCAUUGUGAAAACUGUAUAAAAACAAUAGAAUCUUAUGUUAACAGUGAUUUCUAUUGUAUAUGUAUUGUGAAGCACAUUCCAAAAUUUCAUUUGCUGUAACGAUUACAAUAGGUUAACAUUAGAUUUCAUUGUAACAUUAGUUUCUAUGGGCAUACAGUAGAUUAACAUUAGAUUUCAUGGUAACAAUGUUUUCUAUCAUUUUGAUGGGCAUACAGUAGAUCUACAUAAAAUUCAAUUGUUAUCAUUAAGUUUCAUAUCGAAUGCCAUGACACCAGAUGAGUGCCAUGGAGUUUGGUCGAUUUUGCGUAACACUCACACUCUUUUGUGUUAUAAAUUUUAAGCGUGAUUGUUUUGAUUGCAAAAUUUCAACUCAACUUCUUCGGCUGCAGUGAAAUUGAUUUCUAAUUUGUAACUCAUCAAGGAAGGCUGAACAUGAACGAAAAUCGAGAGAGAAAUCUACGCCAACAGCAAACUGGAGCGGUUGAGGGUUGAUGUUCGACGAACUGCACACCGCGAGUCGCCCGCAAACGUUCGACGGUUGAAUUGCCACCCGGCACCGUGAAUCGCUAAGUUGAUCAAACUUCCGGACGCCAUAUAGUAUGGAUUUGCCAUUGGGAAUAUUGUCGUCGCGGUUGAAACCCGAAGUUUCCACACACCCGACAAUCGAAUUUUAUCAAAAUCCAUACGUGAAACCUAACGUCGGACGUAGGGCGCUGGACAGCGGACCUGGCCCUCUAUCCAGCGCACUGUGCCCGACGUACGUCCGACACACGGUUUAGGAGAAAAAUCGAUUUUCGCGUGUCAAAAAUUCCGAUUUUCAACUGCACGAACAAUAUUGCGCCACCACCCGAAGCCAAUAAACCGCGCAUUUUGUAUCUUCCCAGGCGAAUCUGAGUCUGGCUGCACCGAUGCAGCUGGGUGAAGGACGUGCCGGAUGAAGGAUGAGUCUCCGCCCAGCAACCAUGAGGAGGUGUCAGCAAGAAGGUGCAGGAUAUAGCGGCCGUUAAGUAUGCCGAACGGAUGGCAAGGGCGGGAUGGAAUGACCUCGGGAAUGACAUAUCAGUGCUGUGUGUUAGGACAUUCCAGACGCAUCCCAGAUUCCGCCGAAGUGGGGUGCCUCGGGCGGGUUAAAACACCACUCGAUUCCGGCGUCGCUUGCUCGUCGGAUGCCUUCUUGAGUUUCGUUGGUCUCUUCAGUAGAUUCGCUGCACCGACAAAGUUGUUCCUGUUGUCGGUCCAUACGCUCGUUGGCUUGCCUCGCCGACACACAAACCGGUCAAUUGCAGUGGUUAACAGCACGCUGACGAUUUCGAGGUGGAUCGACGGUCGAACGAUUGUUUAUCGAAAUUUAUCGAAACCCCAGCUACCAUAUUAAAAUCGUCUUUUGCAUUUGGACUUGAUUAGGACGCAUUGAUGGAUCUUCAAAUAUUGAUUCACUUUUUAAGCCUGGAGUGCAUGCAUGCGACUGAUUGAAAUUCGUUAGUUUUAUUUUCUUGUGGAUUUACUGUAGAAUUCAACACAGUUUAUGAUUGUUCUCCAAGCUGUAAUCUGUCGAGUGUCUUUAAAUGCUAUCAAUGGUUAAGCCUGCUGUAAUGUUACAUUUGUACCUCAUCACCCACUUAAUGCAACUACAUUAGUGGUCUAACAACACUAGCGCGCUCGGCUCGGUUCCAUCAUGCCGCUUAUAGUGUUGCCACAUAUAAUGUUAUGUUUGCUAAACCCAGUUAUCUGGCUGGUGGGGCACGGGAGCCUAAGCUACAACCAUUAAUGCAGUAAGACAAUACUUCAAAUUAAACAAAAGUGAUCUGAAUAUUUAAAGAUUUAUUGAAAAUAUAGAAGCUUUCGUAGCCAAAUUUUAACAAACUUGUUUUGUGAAGAUAGUUAUGUUUUGCUUUCUUUUGGGGCUGAUUUUCCUGUUUAUUUCCUUAUUAUCACAGGGUUAUAUAGCACCAUCUUGUGCAUAUGAACGCUUUGAACAGUCUUAUAAUAUAGGUUCGCUCUUAAAGACUGAAAUGCAUGCAUACUAUGGAAUUGAAUUUAAUCAUUUUCUCAUGGAUUAACUAUUAAAUUCGACGCCAUAGUAUGCUGUAUUCUGCAAGUUGUAGUCUAUCGAGUGUUUUAAGUGCUACAAAAAUGGUAAAGCACGCUAUAAUGUUACUUUUGUACCUCAUCACCCACUUAAUGCAACUACAUUAGUGGUCUAACAACACUAGCGCGCUCGGCUCGGUUCCAUCAUGCCGCUUAUAGUGUUGCCACAUAUAAUGCUAUGUCUGCUUAACCCAGUUAUCUGGCUGGUGGGGCAUGGGAGCGUAUGCUUCAACCAUUAAUGCAAUUAAACAUCACACGAUUUACAACAUGAGUGAUCCAUAUAUUAUAUGAUUGUUCAAGCUAAGAAUAUGUACUUAAAAGGCAGCUUAAUAUAUGUAACCUUCUAGUCUUGCUUCUAGUCCAAAUGUAUAGAUAGAAAAUGUGGUUUACUUAAUUUGCAGUACAACAAGAAACCCAUUUCAAAACGUCUAACAUUUUUGUCAAAUUUGACUGAACAAUUUCAUUUGAUAACAUUAGGUUCACAACAGAAAACAAUUACCAAACCAUUGAAUCGAAUAUUCGAUCGUAAUAAAAUCACUGCUCAAAGCAAUACGUUAAUUGUACUUUUAACUAACAUUAGAAUCUUAUGUAUUACAAUAGAAAACCAUUCCGAAACAAUUGAAUGUAAUGUAAAAACAGCUUAAAAUAAUAUGUUCGGUUUCACAAUUGAAAACAAUUCCUAAACCAUUGAAUCGAUUGUUGUACUAGUAAUGAAAUCACUGUUUAAAACAAUAAGUUUACUGUUCAUUCCACUGUUUUUAACAAUUCUAAAAUAUUAGAAUCUUCUGUAUCACAAUAGAAAACCAUGUUUAAACAAUUGAAUUCAAUGUUAAAAACAAUACAAAACAGUGUGUUCUUUAUCACAAUUGAGAACAUUUCACAAACCAUUGAAUCCAAUUUUGAACUAGUAAUGAAAUCACUGUUCAAAACAAUUCAUUUACUAUUAAUUUCAAUGUUUUGACAAUUCAAAAACAUGAGAAUCUUCUGUAUCACAACACAAAACCAUUCGUAAACAAUUGAAUUCAAUGUUAAUAACAGUACAAAACAGUAUGUUCUUUAUAACAAUAGAAAACAAUUGACAAACCAUUGAAUGAAAUGUUGAAUCAACAAUAAAAUCACUGCUCAAAACAAUACGUUUACCAUACAUUUCACUGUUGGCAAGAAUUCGAAAACAUAAAAAUCUUCUGUAUCACAAUAGAAAACCAUCCCCAAACCAUUGAAUCUGAUGUUAGAUCACAGUUCAAAACAGAAUGUUCUUGGCAUAUAUAACUGUUCAAAACAAUACAAAUACAUAAAAAUCUAUGGUAUAUUUUAUUCCACGUAUCGGCAUUAACAACAUUUCAUUAACAUUAGAAUUUUCUGUUUUGCGAAAAAAGUUGUAUGGAAAAAAGGCUUUUUUUGUAUUGUUACGAUACUUAACAACCUAUACAAUUCAAUGUGAAAUGCUCAUUCACAUUUGAUUCUAUUGUUGAAAACAAUUGAUUCUAUUGUUUUUUUUAUUGUUAUUUUAACAUUGAAUUCUAUUGUAAGAGCAUUGUAUUCAAUGGUACUGUUACAUAAGAAUCCUAUGUUUUUCUAUUGUAUUUUUUAUCCGGG
Aedes albopictus (Asian tiger mosquito) is the source of this 3708-nucleotide long non-coding RNA. RefSeq lists it as uncharacterized. The record is from RefSeq and is a predicted model, not a curated record. The transcript is spliced from 3 exons. Lineage: Eukaryota; Metazoa; Arthropoda; Insecta; Diptera; Culicidae.